Molecule: ribosomal RNA, 226 nt
Filed under: uncultured Candidatus Accumulibacter sp.
Lineage: Bacteria; Pseudomonadati; Pseudomonadota; Betaproteobacteria
Description: partial 16S ribosomal RNA
Rfam family: Bacterial small subunit ribosomal RNA
Source: RNAcentral
UCGCCCUUCUGGAGUUUGGCAGAGGGGGGUGGAAUUCCACGUGUAGCAGUGAAAUGCGUAGAGAUGUGGAGGAACACCAAUGGCGAAGGCAGCCCCCUGGGUCGAUACUGACGCUCAUGCACGAAAGCGUGGGUAGCAAACAGGAUUAGAUACCCUGGUAGUCCACGCCCUAAACGAUGUCAACUAGGUGUUGGGAGGGUAAAACCUUUUAGUGCCGUAGCUAACG